Molecule: non-coding RNA, 491 nt
Organism: Oncorhynchus mykiss (rainbow trout)
Lineage: Eukaryota; Metazoa; Chordata; Actinopteri; Salmoniformes; Salmonidae
Source: RefSeq, a predicted model, not a curated record
UAAUUGGCAGCAGAGAACUGGAAGGAAAGGCGGCCAAAGGAGGAAUUGGCUUUGGGGGUGACCAGUGAAAAAUUCCUGCUGGAGCGUGUGCUACGGGCUGUGGGUCAUCCAGCAGGACAACGACCUCAAACCCACAUCAAAAACCACCCAGGAAAGAUUCAACAAUAAAUACUGGACUGUUCUGGAGUGACCAGUCAAGAGUCCCCAUCUGAAUCACAUCCAUAACCUAUGGAGAGAGCUGAGAACAGCAGUUGGAGGGCACCCGACAAACAUUGAAGAAUUAAAGCAGUUUGCUGAUGAAAAGUGGGACAAACCUCCAGUAGAAAGGUUCAGCAAGCUCAUUGAUGGCUACAAGAAGCAUUUGUCUGCAGCUAUCUUGGCCAAAAGCUGUGUAACCAAGUGCUUGCUCUGGGGGUAUCUAUAAUUUUGUCCAUGCCAUUUGUCUUUAUUUUCUCAAUUAAAAUUGUGAACUUAAGUUUACCAAAAUAAAA